This 823-nucleotide ribosomal RNA is filed under the name Salmonella sp. 32031103201600284SM. RNAcentral's name for it is "partial 23S ribosomal RNA". It matches the Rfam family "Bacterial large subunit ribosomal RNA", at positions 1084 to 1889 of the family's 2925-position model. The record is from RNAcentral. Lineage: Bacteria; Pseudomonadati; Pseudomonadota; Gammaproteobacteria; Enterobacterales; Enterobacteriaceae.
CCCAGACAGCCAGGAUGUUGGCUUAGAAGCAGCCAUCAUUUAAAGAAAGCGUAAUAGCUCACUGGUCGAGUCGGCCUGCGCGGAAGAUGUAACGGGGCUAAACCAUGCACCGAAGCUGCGGCAGCGACGCUGAUGCGUUGUUGGGUAGGGGAGCGUUCUGUAAGCCUGCGAAGGUGACCUGUGAGGGUUGCUGGAGGUAUCAGAAGUGCGAAUGCUGACAUAAGUAACGAUAAAGCGGGUGAAAAGCCCGCUCGCCGGAAGACCAAGGGUUCCUGUCCAACGUUAAUCGGGGCAGGGUGAGUCGACCCCUAAGGCGAGGCCGAAAGGCGUAGUCGAUGGGAAACGGGUUAAUAUUCCCGUACUUGGUGUUACUGCGAAGGGGGGACGGAGAAGGCUAUGUUGGCCGGGCGACGGUUGUCCCGGUUUAAGCGUGUAGGUGUGUGUUCCAGGUAAAUCCGGUUCACUUUAACACUGAGGCGUGACGACGAGGCACUACGGUGCUGAAGCAACAAAUGCCCUGCUUCCAGGAAAAGCCUCUAAGCAUCAGGUAACACGAAAUCGUACCCCAAACCGACACAGGUGGUCAGGUAGAGAAUACCAAGGCGCUUGAGAGAACUCGGGUGAAGGAACUAGGCAAAAUGGUGCCGUAACUUCGGGAGAAGGCACGCUGACACGUAGGUGAAGUGAUUUACUCACGGAGCUGAAGUCAGUCGAAGAUACCAGCUGGCUGCAACUGUUUAUUAAAAACACAGCACUGUGCAAACACGAAAGUGGACGUAUACGGUGUGACGCCUGCCCGGUGCCGGAAGGUUAAUUGAUGGGG